This 65-nucleotide transfer RNA is filed under the name Dipodomys ordii (Ord's kangaroo rat). It matches the Rfam family "tRNA". From Rfam's summary of the family: Transfer RNA (tRNA) molecules are approximately 80 nucleotides in length. Their secondary structure includes four short double-helical elements and three loops (D, anti-codon, and T loops). Lineage: Eukaryota; Metazoa; Chordata; Mammalia; Rodentia; Heteromyidae. The record is from Rfam by way of RNAcentral.
GGUGGCUCAGUGGUAGAGUGCUUGCCUUGCAUGCAUGAGGCGCUGGGUUCAAUUCCUGAGUACCA